GAAAAAAGAAAAAAUGGACUGGGGAUGCCAUCGACUCAGUGAUUGAGUGCCCCUGGGUUCAAUACCUGGUACCAAAAAAAAAAAAAAACCAACCUCACUCCUUGCUUGUUUAUAGUAAUUUAUGUAUAAUUCAUUGUAAUAGUUAUUUAAAGGCAUAAUAGAAUAAAUCAAAUGUCCCACUUUUUUUCCCUAAAACUAUAGAAUUCCUGAGUAAUUCUUAUAGCAAAGUCUAAGACAAUAGAUUUUUUAAAAAUCCACCCAAAAUUCCAUAUAUAUAUAUAUAUAUAUAUAUAUAUAUAUAUAUAUAUAUAUAUAUCCAUAUAUAUACAUCCCCAGCUCUGGCCCUUUUUCUCUUGUUCUAGUCCAACUCCUCAGACAGAAACAGUUGCUCACAAGGAAAUUUGCCUCUUAUACUUCUGCUUUGCUUUUGGACACAGUCAAUGGAGAGAUUGAGAACACAGGCCCUAGAUAAACCAAAGUGAACAAUGCACUCUGAAAUCACGUAUGCAAGGAAGGCUUUGUGGGCAUGGAAAAGCUCCCCUCUAAGUAAGGUUAAGUCCUGGGAAGUAGGAACUGGCCAUCCAUUGUCAGGGUGUCCCAUCCCUUAAUCUUCCACCAUAGCCCUGGGAUGGCACACUGCCCACUGAGGUGAUGGGUUUGGAUGUAUAUGCAUUCUCUGGUACCUGUACACACACACAGAUACCCACACAUGCACACACAUGUGGUUGCAUAUGCAUGCGGACACAGAGGCAUCCCUCUUAGUUGUUUGACUCCUGCAGGGUUUGAAAAUAAGGUAUUGCUUCCACUUGGAGGCUGGGAGGAGCUGGUGAAGUUAGGAGUGCCCUUGAGGAGGGAACACAAAGAGACAAGUCAUCAGUAGCCACCACACAACAGCCCAUCAGUCAGGUCUGCCAGGCCCUGCUUCGGCUUGGAAGCCUUGUCUGCUGAGCACAACAGUAGCGAAGCUGACUCAUCACUGCCACCCGGGUGGCCCAGCUGUCAGAACAAGAUUGGCCUAUCUCCCCUCUGUUCGCGCUGCUUUGUCGAAAAAGCCACCGGUUGUGAAUCAUCUGCCCGUAUAGAGCCACGUGGGAAUCUCAAAGUUUAGUGGAGAGGAUGACAGAGUCAAAAUUCUCCUUCAGAGUAGGACCCUGCUGAGUCACUUUGAAGCCUUGAACAAAUUGCUUUUUCCUAAAUAAUUAAUUAUGACAGUUUUCAUUUAUUUAGCAGUUGACUGUGUGCCUGCUCCACUGGAGCCGAUAGACUCAAGACUCAUCCCGGCCACCACACAGACUCUCACCUUCCCUUAUGAAAUCUCCUCCUAGCCCCAGCAGUUUUGACACUGAUGGUAGUGAUAUCUCCGUUUUAUAGAUGAGAACACUGAGGCACAGAGAAUGUUAUCCCAGUUGAAGGACAAAAAGUGUAUCCAAAUUGCAAACUCCAAAUUCCUUAUUCUUUCCUGGACUUAUAUUUUUUCGUAUGAAAAACUGAGAAAUACUUCUUUCCACUUCUUUUGGUUUCCAGAGUCUGAGAUACACAUCUUUGUAAUCAAGAGCUUUGUUAACUGGGACACUAAGGAUCGGCUGUAUGUCUGUGUAUCUACCCUCCUGCUCAUCCUUUCCUGACAUUCUAUUUGUAACUUUCUUGUUGAUAACCAAAUCAUGUGUCUAUAAAUUCCAAAGAUUUGGUUUAUGCUGACUGCAGCCCCAGAAGGCAUGGACAUCAGUUUCCUAUAGUUAUUUAAAGUUACUAGUUAGAUUAAGAGCAAAAUGUCAUUUGGAUCCAAACCUCACCUAGCCAAAAUUCUUGCUAAAACUUCACGUCUUUAUAAGAGAAAUAGGAAAAUUAUCAAAUAGGCUAAGAUGAGGCAUCUGACUUAUAAACCAGCUUGUACAGUAUGUUUUAGAGAAUGUGUUCACAUUAAACCCACCUAGUAUACUGAUCAUAGAAAUUAAGGUGGGCCAUUGAGAAAUGAUUUAAUGAAUAAGGAUUUAUUGAAUAUAUACUACCUGUCACCAUGAUGCUCAGUAUCAGGGAUUCAAAAUCAAAUAAGGCACAGAGGAUGCUUAACCUCUAAGAAGGGACAAGCCAGUAAGUCAGGGGUGAUGAUGCACAGUGAAAAUGCCCUGUACACUGGUUCACAGAUGCUAGAGCUGAAGAGAACAGGCUGUGUUAACCUCACUGGGGCACCUGAGGCCUGCUAGAGGAGAUGACAUUUCAUGAAUCUGGUAUAAACAGUUUUGGAACUGAAAAAGUAUUUGGUCCAGUUUCCUGCAUUUGGAAAAGUGGAGAGGAACUCAAAGCACUGCCUACUUGAGUUCAUUUUUUAAUAAAGAUUUUCAGUGAGGAUUUCAAGCAGAGGCUUGAAAUCUGCAUAGAAUUUGAAAAUCAUUUGUCUAGAACUCUCAUUCCUUAACUUUUCUGGACCAUCCACUUAUUUUCAUACGCCUGGGUCUGAAACUAAUAAUAUCUUUCUUUCAUCAAUUC
RNAcentral lists this long non-coding RNA (2487 nucleotides) under Marmota monax (woodchuck). Lineage: Eukaryota; Metazoa; Chordata; Mammalia; Rodentia; Sciuridae. The record is from RNAcentral.